This 484-nucleotide ribosomal RNA is filed under the name uncultured bacterium. Its description in RNAcentral is "partial 16S ribosomal RNA". It matches the Rfam family "Bacterial small subunit ribosomal RNA", at positions 30 to 507 of the family's 1533-position model. The record is from RNAcentral.
AUUGAACGCUGGCGGCAGGCCUAACACAUGCAAGUCGAGCGGAUGAAGGGAGCUUGCUCCUGGAUUCAGCGGCGGACGGGUGAGUAAUGCCUAGGAAUCUGCCUGGUAGUGGGAGAUAACGUCCGGAAACGGGCGCUAGUACCGCAUACGUCCUGAGGGAGAAAGUGGGGGAUCUUCGGACCUCACGCUAUCAGAUGAGCCUAGGUCGGAUUAGCUAGUUGGUGGGGUAAAGGCCUACCAAGGCGACGAUCCGUAACUGGUCUGAGAGGAUGAUCAGUCACACUGGAACUGAGACACGGUCCAGACUCCUACGGGAGGCAGCAGUGGGGAAUAUUGGACAAUGGGCGAAAGCCUGAUCCAGCCAUGCCGCGUGUGUGAAGAAGGUCUUCGGAUUGUAAAGCACUUUAAGUUGGGAGGAAGGGCAGUAAGUUAAUACCUUGCUGUUCUGACGUUACCAACAGAAUAAGCACCGGCUAACUUCGUG